AUGAACGCUGGCGGCGUGCUUAAUACAUGCAAGUCGAACGGAAACAGUAGCAAUAUUGUUUUAGUGGCGAACGGGUGAGUAACGCGUUGGUGACCUGCCCCGAAGAGAGGGAUAACAGUUCGAAAGGAUUGCUAAUACCUCAUGUGGUCAUAUGGUUUAGAAGCUUAUGACUAAACGGAUUUAUUCGCUUCGGGAGGGGCCUGCGUCCCAUCAGCUAGUUGGUAAGGUAAUGGCCUACCAAGGCGAUGACGGGUAGGGGACCUGAGAGGGUGGCCCCCCACAAUGGAACUGAAACACGGUCCAUACACCUACGGGUGGCAGCAGUAGGGAAUAUUGCACAAUGGACGAAAGUCUGAUGCAGCAACGCCGCGUGUGCGAUGAAGGCCUUCGGGUUGUAAAGCACUUUUAUGAGGGAAGAGCAAGGACUGUACCUCAUGAAUAAGGAUCGGCUAACUACGU
RNAcentral lists this ribosomal RNA (459 nucleotides) under uncultured bacterium. Its description in RNAcentral is "bacterial SSU rRNA". It matches the Rfam family "Bacterial small subunit ribosomal RNA", at positions 29 to 506 of the family's 1533-position model. The record is from RNAcentral.